GAUGAACGCUGGCGGCGUGCCUAAUACAUGCAAGUCGAGCGAACAGAUGAGGAGCUUGCUCCUCUGACGUUAGCGGCGGACGGGUGAGUAACACGUGGAUAACCUACCUAUAAGACUGGGAUAACUUCGGGAAACCGGAGCUAAUACCGGAUAAUAUAUUGAACCGCAUGGUUCAAUAGUGAAAGACGGUUUUGCUGUCACUUAUAGAUGGAUCCCCGCCGCAUUAGCUAGUUGGUAAGGUAACGGCUUACCACGGCGACGAUGCGUAGCCGAGCGGUGAGAGUGGUCGGCCACACUGGAACUGAGCCGCGGUCCAGACUACUGAGGGAGGGAGCAGUAGGGAAUGGGACGCAGUGGGCGGAAGCCUGACAGAACAACGGGAAGUGAGAGGUGAAGGUCUUCGGAUCGUAAAACUCUGUUAUGAGGGAAGAACAAAUGUGUAAGUAAAUAUGCACGUCGUGACGGUACCUAAUCAGAAAGCCACGGCUAACUACGUG
Molecule: ribosomal RNA, 497 nt
Filed under: uncultured bacterium
Lineage: Bacteria
Description: partial 16S ribosomal RNA
Rfam family: Bacterial small subunit ribosomal RNA
Source: RNAcentral